GCCCAAGUGGCGGAACGGCACGCGCGACGGACUCAAGAUCUGUUGGCUGAUAGGCCAUGAGGGUUCGACUCCCGCUCCGGGCA
This 83-nucleotide transfer RNA is filed under the name Lentisphaerae bacterium ADurb.BinA184. RNAcentral describes it as "tRNA-Leu". It matches the Rfam family "tRNA". Rfam says of the family: Transfer RNA (tRNA) molecules are approximately 80 nucleotides in length. Their secondary structure includes four short double-helical elements and three loops (D, anti-codon, and T loops). Further hydrogen bonds mediate the characteristic L-shaped molecular structure. tRNAs have two regions of fundamental functional importance: the anti-codon, which is responsible for specific mRNA codon recognition, and the 3' end, to which the tRNAs corresponding amino acid is attached (by aminoacyl-tRNA synthetases). tRNAs cope with the degeneracy of the genetic code in two manners: having more than one tRNA (with a specific anti-codon) for a particular amino acid; and 'wobble' base-pairing, i.e. permitting non-standard base-pairing at the 3rd anti-codon position. The record is from RNAcentral. Lineage: Bacteria; Pseudomonadati; Lentisphaerota.